GCCUCGGUGACUUAGUGGUUAGCACUUUGGCCUCACACCUCCAGGGUCCAGGGGGUCGAUUCCCGCCGGGGCC
Ameiurus melas (black bullhead) is the source of this 73-nucleotide non-coding RNA. The record is from the annotation of a GenBank genome assembly. Lineage: Eukaryota; Metazoa; Chordata; Actinopteri; Siluriformes; Ictaluridae.